Molecule: transfer RNA, 76 nt
Filed under: Deltaproteobacteria bacterium RBG_16_50_11
Lineage: Bacteria; Deltaproteobacteria
Description: tRNA-Glu
Rfam family: tRNA
About the family: Transfer RNA (tRNA) molecules are approximately 80 nucleotides in length. Their secondary structure includes four short double-helical elements and three loops (D, anti-codon, and T loops).
Source: RNAcentral
GUCCCCAUCGUCUAGAGGCCAAGGACACCGGCCUUUCACGUCGGCAACAGGGGUUCGAAUCCCCUUGGGGACGCCA